UUUCUACUCCCUUCGUUCGAAAAUACUUGUCAUCAAAAUGGAUAAAAAGAGAUGUAUCUAAAACUAAAAUACGUCUAGAUACAUUUCCUUUUAUCCAUUUUGAUGACAAGUAUUUCCGGAUGGAGGGAGUAUUUG
This is a non-coding RNA of Triticum aestivum (bread wheat), 135 nucleotides long. NCBI's taxonomy places the organism in Eukaryota, Viridiplantae, Streptophyta, Magnoliopsida, Poales, Poaceae. The record is from Rfam.